This is a long non-coding RNA of Mustela putorius furo (domestic ferret), 1758 nucleotides long. The record is from Ensembl. NCBI's taxonomy places the organism in Eukaryota, Metazoa, Chordata, Mammalia, Carnivora, Mustelidae.
NNNNNNNNNNNNNNNNNNNNNNNNNNNNNNNNNNNNNNNNNNNNNNNNNNNNNNNNNNNNNNNNNGGGAGUCGCGGGGCGCGGUGGUGGCAGCCGCUGUGCAGGCGAGUAGCGGGCGCCGGGGCGGGAGCGGCGGCGGGGCAGCGGGGCUUGGGGCCGGCGGGCGCUUUCCUCCCUCUGCGGUGAGAGUCCGCGCAGCCCUCUGCUUUGCUUCCCAGUUUCCUUCUGACCAGAACACCUGUUUCUGGGGGAAAAAACCUCAGAACAGAAGCAGGCGGCCGAGACGUCCUGCGCGAGCCUCAGCCGGACCCGCGGAACCCAUGCUGACGCUUGCGGUUUGGGUUUUUGUGUUGGCCGGCGUCUUGGCCAGAAGCGGGUUUGGGUAAGAGCACGUCGGACCGGCCGCUGUGAGCCGGCUGUCCGCCGUGAACGGAAGAGGGGAAAGGACUCUGUCAGGGCAGGAGAGGAGGCCCGUGAGCGCUCGGAAGAGCGCGUUGGCCGGACACGGAGCCGAGUAACUGCCUUUUCUGUCUCCCUGACCCCGGCCCGCCUCGCUCGCGCGUCCGCUGUGCCGAACCUGAAGUCACGCUUGGGCGGCGGAGUCGCGGGCACCUGGUCUGUGGUCAUUUGCUCCUCGCGCUGCUUUUAUCUCUUUAACAAGGACCUGCUCCUGAACCUCUUCGUCCUUUAACACCCCCUCGCCCAGACGUGCCCUGCGAGGUCCCAGCCGUCCCUUUAUUCAAGAACGAAACAAAAAGCAGCACUCUGUUUGAAUGGAAGCCUUGCUCCGCAGCGUCAGGCUCCACUCGCGUUUCCUCCUGCGCCCUCUCCUCGCGGGCUGCCUCCACCCCUGUGCAGGGAUCCCUCCUGAGUGCUUCUGCAGUGCCCCCUCUCCUGGAUGGAGCACCAGCGCGGUGACUGUCGCCUUAGCCUGGCUUCACAUCCCUGAAACCCAGAGGUCUUGGUGCAGAGACACUGCAGUGAUUUUCACAGACUCAUCACAGACAAGUCUGAGCUGGGACGCGGAGCUGCAGAGGACAUACAGUGGCUCAGCAUAAACGGCCAAUGUGGGGACAUUGCCUCGGUGCAGGUCCAGAAACCCCAAGUCACAAUUCACAGUGGAGUCCAGCUCCUUCCGACUUCAGGUAAAGUCUGUGGGCCCACUACGGGGAUGGGGCUGGCCCAGGUAGGGUGUGGGAGAAGCAGUGGCCACAGGGGCCCCCCCGGCAGCGGGUGCCUGUAUCCCUGCGUCUCCUCUUGCAUGUAGCCUGGCCUGCCACCUGCUGCCGGGCUGUCCCAGAACGUCCCAGUUACGUGACUGUCCUGCUGUACUUUCGGGAAGGUCCAAAGGGCAAGCAGGAAAUUUCAGAAAGCUGCCACACCCUUGACAGUGAAACCAGAGCGUCUGAAAAUGGACUUCGUUAAGCCAGGGACAGACAGGAAUGAACUAGCAGCAGAGAAUGGAUGUUGUCCUUGAACCCGAGGUUUCUUGAGAGUUGCCUCCUGAGUGGAGAGAUGCUUUUGAUUUUUGAACUUUCCACAGCUGCCUAAGAACAGUAUUCUUUUUUAAAAAGAAAAAAAUCUAUUUAUUUAACAGACAGAGAUUACAAGUAGGCAGAGAGACAGGCAGAGAGAGAAGAGGAAGCAGGCUCUCCACGGAGCAGAGAGUCCAAUGUGGGGCUCAAUCCCAGGACCCUGGGACCAGGACCUGAGCCAAAGGCAGAGGCUUUAACCCACUGAGCCACCCAGGUGCCCCAAG